GGAUUGUGGCUCAGUGGUAGAGCACAUGCCUCGCACAUGUGAGGCACUGGGUUCUAUCCUUAGCACCA
Molecule: transfer RNA, 68 nt
Filed under: Marmota monax (woodchuck)
Lineage: Eukaryota; Metazoa; Chordata; Mammalia; Rodentia; Sciuridae
Description: tRNA.Ala
Source: RNAcentral